Molecule: ribosomal RNA, 492 nt
Filed under: uncultured bacterium
Lineage: Bacteria
Description: partial 16S ribosomal RNA
Rfam family: Bacterial small subunit ribosomal RNA
Source: RNAcentral
AGUGAACGCUGGCGGUAGGCCUAACACAUGCAAGUCGAACGGCAGCACAGUAAGAGCUUGCUCUUACGGGUGGCGAGUGGCGGACGGGUGAGGAAUACAUCGGAAUCUACUUUUUCGUGGGGGAUAACGUAGGGAAACUUACGCUAAUACCGCAUACGACCUACGGGUGAAAGCAGGGGAUCUUCGGACCUUGCGCGAUUGAAUGAGCCGAUGUCGGAUUAGCUAGUUGGCGGGGUAAAGGCCCACCAAGGCGACGAUCCGUAGCUGGUCUGAGAGGAUGAUCAGCCACGCUGGAACUGAGACACGGUCCAGACUCCUACGGGAGGCAGCAGUGGGGAAUAUUGGACAAUGGGCGCAAGCCUGAUCCAGCCAUACCGCGUGGGUGAAGAAGGCCUUCGGGUUGUAAAUCCCUUUUGUUGGGAAAGAAAAGCAGCAGGUUAAUACCCCGCUGUUCUGACGGUACCCAAAGAAUAAGCACCGGCUAACUUCGUG